UGCUGAUCAAAGUCAUGGUUGCUGUGGGUGAAGUUGCUGAUCAGCAGCUCUCAGUCAUGAAGUGUUCAAGUCACAGGACUAUAAACACUCACAGAGCACUGAAGCAUGGACUGCUAAUGCAAAGUGUGUGUGUGUGUGUGUGUGUGUGUGUGUGUGUGUGUGUGUGUGUGUGUGUGUGUGUGUACUGCAGUGUGAUGAGGUUUUUGAACGACGGUUUCAUUAGAAUGUAUCACUGUGGUGGACUUUUGGUGGAGGCUCCAAACUCAUGGUGAAAACUCUUCCCACCGUGUCUCUGCUCCUUCCGUCCCCUCUGCAGCUGUCUGAGGGAUCAUCCUCGCUGCUCUGCCUGCUGUCUGGCUACUCUCCACAGGGGGCGCUGGUGAGCUGGACAGUGGACGGCUCAGAGGUGAAGACCGGCGUUCUGAACAGCGCAGAAGAAGAGAAGAACGACGGUUACAGCCUCAGCAGCACCCUGACCCUCAGCAAAGACCUCUGGGAAAAGGGGGAGGAGUUUAUCUGUAAGGUCUCCCAUAACAACAUGGAUCAUCCAGUCACGUUCAGAAAGAGUCAGUGUGAAGGCGAGUGAAGCCGAGAGUUGCUUCUGAUCCAUCUACAAUAGAGUUUCAAUUCUACACAACGCUGCAUUUAUGUCUUUCUUCUCUGUUCACUGUCCUGUUGCUCUUCCUGUAGUUUUUGCUGAAAUAAAGCUGAGUUCUGGA
Silurus meridionalis is the source of this 719-nucleotide non-coding RNA. NCBI's taxonomy places the organism in Eukaryota, Metazoa, Chordata, Actinopteri, Siluriformes, Siluridae. The record is from the annotation of a RefSeq genome assembly.